Molecule: ribosomal RNA, 402 nt
Filed under: uncultured bacterium
Lineage: Bacteria
Description: bacterial SSU rRNA
Rfam family: Bacterial small subunit ribosomal RNA
Source: RNAcentral
UCGGGAAUUUUGGGCAAUGGGCGAAAGCCUGACCCAGCAACGCCGCGUGAGGGAUGAAGUAUUUCGGUAUGUAAACCUCGAAAGAAUGGGAAGAAUAAAUGACGGUACCAUUUAUAAGCUCCGGCUAACUACGUGCCAGCAGCCGCGGUAAUACGUAGGGAGCAAGCGUUGUUCGGAUUUACUGGGCGUAAAGGGCGCGUAGGCGGCGCGGUAAGUCACUUGUGAAAUCUCUGAGCUUAACUCAGAACGGCCAAGUGAUACUGCUGUGCUAGAGUGUGGAAGAGACAACCGGAAUUCUUGCUGUAGCGGGGAAAUGCGUAGAUAUCAAGAGGAACACCUGAGGCGAAGGCGGGUUGCUGGGCCGACACUGACGCUGAUGCGCUAAAGCCAGGGGAGCAAACG